UGCAAGUCGAACGGGAUUAAGUUUGUAGCAAUACAGACUUGGUCUAGUGGCGAACGGGUGCGUAACACGUGAGCAAUCUGCCGGGAAAUGGGGGAUAGCUUGCCGAAAGGCAAAUUAAUACCGCAUGUGGCCAGGAAGGACAUCCUUCCAAAGCUAAAGUCGCAAGACGUUUCCUGAUGAGCUCGCGGCCUAUCAGCUAGUUGGUGAGGUAACGGCUCACCAAGGCUAUGACGGGUAGCUGGUCUGAGAGGACGACCAGCCACACUGGAACUGAGACACGGUCCAGACACCUACGGGUGGCAGCAGUCGAGAAUUUUUCGCAAUGGGGGAAACCCUGACGGAGCGACGCCGCGUGGAGGAUGAAGGCGUUUUCGUUGUAAACUCCUGUCAAACGGGAACAAGAAAGUGAUAGUACCGUUAGAGGAAGAGACGGCUAACUCUGUGCCAGCAGCCGCGGUAAUACAGAGGUCUCAAGCGUUGUUCGGAUUCAUUGGGCGUAAAGGGUGCGUAGGUGGCUUGUUAAGUUGAAGGUGAAAUCUCGGGGCUCAACUCCGAAACUGCCUUCAAUACUGGCGAGCUCGAGGACUGUAGAGGAGAAUGGAAUUCACGGUGUAGCAGUGAAAUGCGUAGAUAUCGUGAGGAAGACCAGUGGCGAAGGCGAUUCUCUGGGCAGUUCCUGACACUGAGGCACGAAGGCCAGGGGAGCAAACGGGAUUAGAUACCCCGGUAGUCCUGGCAGUAAACGGUGCACGUUUGGUGUGGGGAAGGAUUCGACCCCUUCCGUGCCGGAGCUAACG
RNAcentral lists this ribosomal RNA (797 nucleotides) under uncultured Verrucomicrobiae bacterium. RNAcentral's name for it is "bacterial SSU rRNA". It matches the Rfam family "Bacterial small subunit ribosomal RNA", at positions 56 to 857 of the family's 1533-position model. Lineage: Bacteria; Pseudomonadati; Verrucomicrobiota; Verrucomicrobiia. The record is from RNAcentral.